This is an RNA transcript of Misgurnus anguillicaudatus (oriental weatherfish), 3301 nucleotides long. It is a transcript of the gene named regulator of G protein signaling 7b, with no coding region annotated. The record is from RefSeq and is a predicted model, not a curated record. Lineage: Eukaryota; Metazoa; Chordata; Actinopteri; Cypriniformes; Cobitidae.
GCGGCGGGUCUUGACAGCAUGAGCGCGCCUGUGAUUGGCCGCGGACCGCUGCGCGUUCACGCUCUAGUUGUGAGAUGUGCGCGCAGCCGCUCACUGGAGGAAAGCACAUCACUAGUUGUCAUACCGAGGGGUAAAUACUCAUUCUUACCAAUGAAUAAUCACCAAUUUACCUCGACUCCCAGCUGACAAACUGCCCUGCGCGACUAAACGCGGAGAGAGGAGCGUCGCGCGCGACAUUGUGUGAGGAGUUUCCUGCCGGAGGUCUUGCUCUUCUGGUUUAGUGAUGGCACAGCCGAGCGCAUGCGGUCCGAGCAGCAAUGGUGUUACUGAUGAGGCUCCUAACAUGCUGGUCUACAGGAAAAUGGAAGACAUCAUCGCUCGCAUGCAGGAUGAGAAGAGCGGGAUUCCCAUCCGUACAGUCAAGAGUUUUCUGUCCAAGAUUCCCAGUGUGUUUUCAGGAUCUGAUAUUGUACAGUGGAUGCAGAAAAAUCUGAACAUUGAAGAUCAAGUGGAGGCUCUUCAUCUAGGGACUCUGAUGGCAGCACACGGUUAUUUCUUCCCAAUAUCAGAUCACGUUCUUACACUCAAGGAUGAUGGAACCUUCUACCGUUUUCAGACUCCAUACUUCUGGCCAUCAAACUGCUGGGAACCAGAGAACACAGAUUAUGCUGUGUAUCUGUGUAAACGAACAAUGCAAAAUAAGGCUCGUCUGGAAUUGGCUGAUUAUGAAGCGGAGAGUUUGGCACGAUUACAGAGAGCUUUUGCACGAAAAUGGGAGUUUAUAUUUAUGCAAGCAGAAGCACAAGCAAAAGUGGACAAGAAACGAGACAAAAUCGAGCGGAAGAUUCUGGACAGUCAAGAAAGAGCGUUCUGGGAUGUUCACAGACCCGUGCCUGGUUGUGUAAAUACAACAGAAGCAGACAUAAAGAAAUCUUCCCGAAUGAAACAACCUCACAAAACACGGAAGUCAGUAUAUGGUCUUCAGAAUGACAUUCGCAGUCACAGCCCAACUCACACUGCAGCACCUGAAAUUAAAGAACCCACAGAAGAAGAACUGCGCAACCAGAUACAGUAUUGGCAGGUGCAGUUAGACAGACAUCGGUUAAAAAUGUCCAAAGUUGCAGAAAGUUUGUUAAGUUUUUCAGAACAGUAUAUUGAAUAUGACCCGAUUUUCACAUCACCAGAACCUUCAAACCCCUGGAUCUCUGAUGACACCACAUUGUGGGAACUGGAGGCCAGUAAAGAACCCGGACAGCAGAGGGUAAAGCGCUGGGCUUUUGGGUUUGAUGAAGUAUUGAACGAUCCGCUCGGGAGGGAACAGUUCUUGAAGUUUCUUGAAUCUGAGUUCAGUUCAGAGAAUCUGAGGUUUUGGUUGGCUGUUCAGGAACUAAAGAAGCGGGCGAAUCGUGAGGUGCCCACGAGGGUGCAGGAGAUUUGGGAUGAGUUUCUUGCGACCGGAGCUCCGAGCGCGAUCAACGUGGACUCCAAGAGUUAUGAAAAAACCACACAGAAUGUUAAAGAUCCUGGUCGCUACGCUUUUGAAGACGCUCAGGAGCACAUCUAUAAACUCAUGAAGAGUGAUUCAUACAGUCGAUUCAUCAGAUCUAAUGUCUAUCAGGAACUUCUGCAGGCUAAGAAAAAGUUGUGUAACAGGAAUCACUGAAGCUGAUUUACUGUGAAAAGCAAGAAUCUUUUCUAGAGUCUGAAUGUCAGAUGCUGUUAGGAUUCUUCAUUAAUGGAGAUAUACAGUAAUAGAGUCAAAUGAGUGCUUGAUGCAGAAGUUAUUUCUCACCUCUUAUAUUUAUUUUUUUACUAUAUUUAAGAAUGUUUUCUGUAUGUUUUUUUAUAUAUAUACAUUUGUGCAUAAAUUCCUGGAAAAUCUGCACGUUGGACAUGAAAAUAGCAUUUGAUAUACAAUAAGAAAUGAAUCUAUCACAAUGUUUCUCCUCCUCGUCUAUAUGAAAACACAAUGUUAGGAUCUAUAGACAGUCACUGCUGACAGUAGUAUGAUGAAUAACUUCAUAUAUGGAUUAGUACUGUAUGCUGUACAUGUAUGAUUACUAAUGAUAAUGGAUGGUCAUGUAUACAGUGUCUGGUAAUGUAUGGACUUCUUUACUGAUGGUUAAAUAUGGACAGUCAUGUAUUUUGUUAAGAUUUAUAUGAUAAUGAUGAUAAUUGUUGACAUUGUGUGGAUGUUAAUGGAGAGUUUGUAAAGGAAUGAAUGAGAAAUAUUUGUCAGUAUGGAUGAUAAUACUGUAUAUAAAACCUUUACUGAUGAUGAUGUUUAACUAUCAGUGAGAAUGUUAUUGAAUGAUAGUAAUGAUGAUGAUGAUGAUGAUGAUGUAUGAAUGGUUAUGUUUGAUGAUAAUGUAUGUAAUGUCAUUGAAUGUCAACUUUGGCUGUAACUUCACAAACUAAGAGAUUUGUUCUGUAAUGAGAUCAAAAGAUGAACUGAGGUGAGACAAUUGUCUGUCUGUCUGUCUGAUCAUUAACAUUAUAGAUUUAAUGAUUGUGUAAAUAUCAAAAUCAAAUGAAGGGACUGAAGAGAAUAUAAACAGGUUUACUCGUCAGGUUUACUCGUCAGGUUUACUCGUGGUUAAACGGCUGCUGAACUCUUUAAUAACAAACAUCUUUCACUAGAUAAUAUUUAAACUUUUAGGAUGAAUUAUUUGUUUCUUUAUUAUGUCUGUAAGAUUGUUUAGAGACUGAAGAGUUGGGUGGGUAAAGUUUAGCAUGACCAACAGAGGGCAGAAGACUCAAACUAACUGAUAAACACAAAACCCUUUUAGUGCCUACGUCACGAUUACGUCACAGCACUAGAUGAGGGCGCGACAAUUUCAAAUCGGCAUAAAGUCGACUUCACAAAGUAAUGUAAAUUUCAUCUUAUUUCGUAAGUACAAGCUCCAGUUUGGAUUUUAUCUCAUACCUGCUCUCACUGCCAUGCAAAUAACCCGACGAUAGCUGUGUUUAAACGACCAGGCCGGACAGAAACGAUCAUUAAAAAUCCUCGCGUUUGCAGCACACACUUCAUAUGCACGUGCCCGUUCAACUCAUACUGUGUAGACAUCUAAUGGUUUAUACUAAGUUACCUUCAUUUCUUUUUACUAUACACGCUCGAUUACUUUAUCUAUGAUAUAGUGUAAGUUAGAUGUCAGACCACUAAACUGGAGAUAAUCCUGUCACGUCAUCCAUUGAGUGAGCGUCAGUCUGAGAUCAAAUCAGAUUUUUUCCUGUAACUUAAUUGUUUGAAAACGGUAACACUUCACAAUAAGGUUGUAUUUGUUAACAUUAGUUAACGCUU